CAGAAACCAUUUCCUUUUGGCUGGGAGCUUGAAAAGCAGCUGGGGAAGCAAAAGGCAAAGGACAAACUAUGAGGAUAUGGAAGAUGAUUGCUAGAAUUGGGAUUUACAGAAGGUAUAAAAAGACAUCCCACAUCUUAAUUCAGUAAAGACAGCCAUCUCUGCGGCCAGUCUGAGACAACAGAGUGUGAGCUGGUCCUGCCGAGACCAGCUGCCUACAGACGUGCCCUUCCCUGCCUGACUCAGGUCUGCUGGAACAGUCAUACCCUCUGCUCUGCUGUCAUACGCUCAGUACCCGGCUUGGAACGGAUGCCCCGUUACCUACUUGGUGAGAUGGAAACUAUGGUGCCCUGCUGCUGCCUCUGGGGAGGAGGAACCUGGGGCCGACAACAUUUCAGAAAAUAAGAAACAAAGCAAAACUUAGUUAACGAUGAAGAAAGAGGAGGCGGGCUUUCCUAACAUAGAGCAGGCUGUGAAGUUUGCUUUGUUCAUAAGAAACUGAUUAACUGAAUGUGGCUAAGGUGAAGAAGGAAGAAUUAAAAUGUAUACAUGUAACAAAUGUAUUUUGUAGACAUAUAUAAUACAAAUGUAUUAUUUGUAGACAUAAUAAAGAAGAAACAAGACAAGUUCA
This 628-nucleotide long non-coding RNA is filed under the name Bos indicus x Bos taurus (hybrid cattle). RNAcentral's name for it is "lncRNA (ENSBIXG00000021561.1)". Lineage: Eukaryota; Metazoa; Chordata; Mammalia; Artiodactyla; Bovidae. The record is from RNAcentral.